UACGUAGGUGGCAAGCGUUGUCCGGAUUUAUUGGGUUUAAAGGGUGCGUAGGCGGCAUUUUAAGUCAGUGGUGAAAUACUUCAGCUUAACUGGAGAGGUGCCAUUGAUACUGGGAUGCUUGAGUACUGAUGAGGUAGGCGGAAUGGACGGUGUAGCGGUGAAAUGCUUAGAUAUCGUCCAGAACACCGAUAGCGAAGGCAGCUUACUAAGGAGUAACUGACGCUGAGGCACGAAAGCGUGGGGAGCGAUCCGG
RNAcentral lists this ribosomal RNA (253 nucleotides) under uncultured bacterium. Its description in RNAcentral is "partial 16S ribosomal RNA". It matches the Rfam family "Bacterial small subunit ribosomal RNA", at positions 524 to 776 of the family's 1533-position model. The record is from RNAcentral.